CACUGUUGGAUGAGCAUAAAGAGGAUAUUGAGUCACUGGCCCGCGCCGAUCGCUUCCUUUACGAAAUAUCAAAGAUUCCCCACUACGAGUAAAGGCUGAAGAGUCUCCACUACAGGAAGCGCUUUAUGCCGACGGUCAACGAUCUUAUACACCGCAUCGCCAGUGUAAUAGAGGCGUACCGCGUAGUGGCUAGUUCCCGACGUCUGCGAAAGCUCCUUGAGCUGAUUCUGGCUAUGGACAACUACAUGAACCGCAGGGCGCGUGGCCGACACCAAGUCCAGUGCCGCCAAGGGCACCACCCUGCUGCAAUAUCUCGUCCAGGUAAUCGAGAGUAAAUUCAAGGAUCCACUGGAGCUGGA
This is a long non-coding RNA of Drosophila serrata, 359 nucleotides long. The record is from RefSeq and is a predicted model, not a curated record. Lineage: Eukaryota; Metazoa; Arthropoda; Insecta; Diptera; Drosophilidae.